GUGUCAGCAGCCGCGGUAAGACGGAGGGUGCAAGCGUUGUUCGGAAUUACUGGGCGUAAAGCGUACGUAGGCGGCGGAUUAAGUCGAAUGUUAAAGCCUGGGGCUCAACCCCAGAGAUGCAUUCGAUACUGGUCUGCUAGAGGGUGAUAGAGGAAAGUGGAAUUCCGAGUGUAGCGGUGAAAUGCGUAGAUAUUCGGAGGAACAUCAGUAGCGAAGGCGACUUUCUGGGUCACACCUGACGCUGAGGUACGAAAGCGUGGGGAGCAAACGGGAUUAGAUACCCCCGUAGUCC
Molecule: ribosomal RNA, 292 nt
Filed under: uncultured bacterium
Lineage: Bacteria
Description: partial 16S ribosomal RNA
Rfam family: Bacterial small subunit ribosomal RNA
Source: RNAcentral